This 253-nucleotide ribosomal RNA is filed under the name uncultured bacterium. Its description in RNAcentral is "partial 16S ribosomal RNA". It matches the Rfam family "Bacterial small subunit ribosomal RNA", at positions 524 to 776 of the family's 1533-position model. The record is from RNAcentral.
UACGUAGGGACCAAGCGUUGUUCGGAUUUACUGGGCGUAAAGGGCGCGUAGGCGGCAAUUCAAGUCAGCUGUGAAAUCUCCGGGCUUAACUCGGAACGGUCAGCUGAUACUGCUUUGCUAGAGUGCAGAAGGGGUAAUCGGAAUUCUUGGUGUAGCGGUGAAAUGCGUAGAUAUCUGGAGGAACACCCGUGGCUAAGGCGGCUCUCUAGUACGGUACUGACGCUGAGACGCGAAAGCGUGGGGAGCGAACAGG